UAAGUUUACUCUUACGACUUAAGAAUUAGACUUAUUGUUGUCCCAUACAUAUUUGAGUUGUCCUUGUCGGCUCUUUGAAAGAAAGGUUUGAUAAUUAUUGAGUCGUCAUUGAUUUUGUCGUUCUAGGCAUUAUUUUAAUACCCAUUUAAUCAAGGAGUUUUUAGACUUGUUUACGAUUUAUGUCAUUUAGUUUAAAUGGUUCAAGCAACAUAGAUCCCAGGGCCUUCUUUUAUAUUUUCUCAUCGUUCAUAACGUUUUUGUGCCACUGCGAAAUUGAAAUAUUUAGGAAAUAUUUCUAUAUGGUGUUUAUUAAAAACAUUUUGGAAAUUCAUACGGGUUGUCCCAUAAUUAAAUAAUUUGACAGUCGAAUGUUAAUAGUGAUAUUAAUAUUAAGUCAAAUUUUCCUAGUCGAAAUGUCAACUACCACAAAGAUACUGAGUGAUUAAGCUAAUUUAAAUUUUGUUUACACAUUAUGUAAUUAUUUAUUAAUUUUAAUGAUGACAAUUGAAACGCCUCCUUCAUUGGCACGAUUUAAUGUCUUUAAACGAAUUUAUAAUUGCCAUUUUCACACCAGAGGUGGAAGAAAAAUUUCUGAAAGUAAUAAGAAAAAGCGGGAACAUAGAUCUAAAAACAUUAAUUGUCGUGCGCAGUUAAUUAUUAUAAUUAAAAAAGAAAUAAAAAAAAUUUCUCGAUCUCGUGCUAAAAACGUUGAUGAACUAGCCAACGAAUGGCCCUGUAUUAUUGAAUUCAGGAAUAACCAUAACCAUUCUAUAGAUAGUGUUGCUGCGUUAACUCAAAGACGCAUCAAAACUGAAACAAAAAAUGUAAUAUUAACAUAUUUUGAGAGAGGUCAUUCGGUAGCAUCUGCAUACUAAACAUAUAAUUUUGAUAAAAUGGAACAAUAUGGUGACGAUUUUAGCAUAAUGUCUGCAGAUAGAGCAAAAUUUCCCACCAAAAAUUAUUUCAAGUACUUAUGGAAAGUUAAUUUCGCAAAUAAAUUUGGCCCUAGAAAUAAAAAUUAAAUGCUUUCAUUUUUAAAACAAAAUCUAACAAAUUCUGAUGUACCCCAUAAAAAUGAUAAAUUAGGCGAACAUUAUAUAGUUGCAUUAUGUACGCCAAUUAUGCAAAGAGUUGAUUGUUGUUCCGAUUGGUGGACUUCCUUUGGGUUGUCUUGUUUCAACGUCCGAGAAAACAGAACUCUUUCAUUUAGGAGUCAAGAAUUUAUUGGAAAUAAUAACCUAUAAAUUAGCACCUAACAUUAUUAUUACAGACGAUGAUUUGAAGGAAAGAAAUGUGCUUAAAGAGUUUUUUCCGAAUUCAAAACUGCUAUUAUCCACUUUUCAUGUGCUCAAAGCAGUUUGGAAAUGGCUUUUGAGCGCGCAUAAUGGCGUCGAAAAAGACCACCGCCAAACCUUAUAUAAUAUGUUCAAGGCAAUUUUAAUGUCAUCCAAAGAAGAAGAUGUACAAGAAAAUAUUAAAGUCUUUAUAAAAUCUUCCCAAAAUUAUUCAAAAUUUAAUAAAUAUAUUGAAAACUAUUUGGCGCGAAAGGAGUUAUGGUGUCUUUUUUACGGAAAAAAUCUCAUGACUCAGGGCACUAAUACGAACAAUGUUGAAAUAAUGUUUCGGCUGUUUAAAGAUAUACCUCUUGAAAGAACAAAGGCCUAUAGUCUUACCCAACUAGUAGAUUUUAUAACGAUUAGCAUUAGUAGGUAUUAUAUACAAAGGAUAUUAGAUGUCAUAAUGGGAAAACUUGAUCGAACAAAAAUGUUAAAGUUAUUGCCAGAUUGCAAGGAUGUAAAUAAAGAAAACAUUACUGAAGUAGUACCUGGCAACUUUCAAUAUUUAGUUAAAAGUAAUUCUGAUCCCACUCUAAGUUAUUUUGUGGAUAUGAGUAUCGGCAUCUGUUCAUGUCCGUUUGGCAACUCGGGAAAGAUCUGUAAACAUCAAUCGGCAAUCAUCGAUGUACUUAAACUUGAAUCUGCAUAUAAUACACUAACCCUUUGAAGCAAAGAAAUAUUAUAUAAUAUAGCUACGGGAAAUGACGCACCACCAACUUUUUUUGUUCCUUUGUUAGAAGAACCUUGUCUGGAAAAGCCUCAGGCUGAAUAUCUACCAUACAUUGGGCUCUUAGAUACUUCUGAAGCUGCACCAAGCAAUCAACAAACACAUUCAAUAGAAUCUACUACUAAAAGUGUUAUGGAUAUUGAGGAUGGUUUUGAUGCAAGAGAAACAGGGGAGAAAUUAAAAGAAUUUAUUGAUCAAUUCAAAAACACACUACUAAAGAAUUUGGAAGACGAUCCACAACACUUUCAACCGGCUAUAGAAGCAUUAAUGAAAAAUUACCACUCGAAUGCUAAAACACCACUUCAACUAUUAAGUUUAUUGCAUACUUCUUUUAAAAACACAAUAUAUAAGCCAAGUCAUCCACCAACAACUAGAAAGGGAAAAAAAAUAUCAGUGCAGCCUACAGCCAUAGCAAGAAGACAUUCGAAAUAUUCAGGAAAAAGAAGAUUCCAAGGAGGUAAAGGUAAAUGGGGAAAGAAAAAGCCAGUUGCACCACAUUCGCUUGGCAAAUGUGUCGAAAACAAUAAAGGACUAGGUGACAGAAGAAUAGAGAAUUAACUAUUUCCUUUUUUAUGAUUAUUAUUACACAUUUAAUUUCAUUUUGUUAAUAAACUUUUUUUUUUAAA
RNAcentral lists this long non-coding RNA (2690 nucleotides) under Anthonomus grandis grandis. Its description in RNAcentral is "uncharacterized LOC126740903". Lineage: Eukaryota; Metazoa; Arthropoda; Insecta; Coleoptera; Curculionidae. The record is from RNAcentral.